RNAcentral lists this ribosomal RNA (253 nucleotides) under uncultured bacterium. Its description in RNAcentral is "partial 16S ribosomal RNA". It matches the Rfam family "Bacterial small subunit ribosomal RNA", at positions 524 to 776 of the family's 1533-position model. The record is from RNAcentral.
UACAGAGGUCUCAAGCGUUGUUCGGAUUCAUUGGGCGUAAAGGGUGCGUAGGUGGCGCGCUAAGUCAGGUGUGAAAUUUCGGAGCUUAACUCCGAAACUGCAUUCGAUACUGCGGCGCUUGAGGACUGGAGAGGAGACUGGAAUUCAUGGUGUAGCAGUGAAAUGCGUAGAGAUCAUGAGGAAGACCAGUGGCGAAGGCGGGUCUCUGGACAGUUCCUGACACUGAGGCACGAAGGCCAGGGGAGCAAACGGG